AUUGAACGCUGGCGGAAUGCUUUACACAUGCAAGUCGAGCGGCAGCGCGGCCUUCGGGCUGGCGGCGAGCGGCGAACGGGUGAGUAAUGCAUCGGAACAUGCCCAGUCGUGGGGGAUAACACUUCGAAAGAAGUGCUAAUACCGCAUACGUCCUGAGGGGGAAAGCGGGGGAUCGCAAGACCUCGCGCGAUUGGAGUGGCCGAUGUCAGAUUAGCUAGUUGGUGGGGUAAAGGCCUACCAAGGCGACGAUCUGUAGCUGGUCUGAGAGGAUGAUCAGCCACACUGGGACUGAGACACGGCCCAGACUCCUACGGGAGGCAGCAGUGGGGAAUUUUGGACAAUGGGGGCAACCCUGAUCCAGCCAUUCCGCGUGAGUGAAGAAGGCCUUCUGGUUGUAAAGCUCUUUCGGCAGGAACGAAACGGUGGGCUCUAACAUAGUCCGCUAAUGACGGUACCUGAAGAAGAAGCACCGGCUAACUACGUG
This 484-nucleotide ribosomal RNA is filed under the name uncultured bacterium. RNAcentral's name for it is "partial 16S ribosomal RNA". It matches the Rfam family "Bacterial small subunit ribosomal RNA", at positions 30 to 507 of the family's 1533-position model. The record is from RNAcentral.